This is a long non-coding RNA of Delphinapterus leucas (beluga whale), 2645 nucleotides long. The record is from Ensembl. Lineage: Eukaryota; Metazoa; Chordata; Mammalia; Artiodactyla; Monodontidae.
AUUAUAGACAAAGGUACCAGUGAAUGAGGCAGAUGAAGGAUUUAAGGUAAAGAAGGAAAGAGAAGCAGAUAGGGGAAGUAUUGCAAGUCAGAGAGGAGAAAUUAGAGACAAGCAGAACGUUACUGACCCUGAAGGGGUAAAUAUGAGAGGGAAAGGAGAGCAUCUUUGCCUAAGAGAAGAGAGAGUGGGAAUGAAGAGCUCCUGGGGAUGAAGGCGGAGACCAGGACCAAAGGAAGUGAAGAAGAGUGAUAAAGAAGGAAAUGGAACAUUUUGAGAAGAAAGAGAAGAUUCGUUAAUGUGUUGAUAGGUAGAGGAAGAGUGGACAUUGGUUUCUUGGAAAAGAACUGUGACUGAGGAGCUUAUAGAGAAAUGUUUGAGAAAUGGAUUUAGGAUAGGCUAGAAGGAUUUAGCUUAACACAUGAUUGGGUUUAUGAGAUGUAGGAGAAUGCAUAGUGAGAAAAAUGGAAAGGUACAGCAGGGUAAGGAUAGGUCAUGGAGGUUGUGGACAGAGAUGCAGGCUGGAGUGCAGUUUCUGAGAGAGGAUCCUAAAGAAUAAUGAAGGGCUCCAAAGUGACAAAGGCAAGAGCAGAGAUAAGAAAAAAAAGAAGUGAAGAAAAAAAGUCUCUGCCUUCCCAAGACCAUCCACUGCUGGCCUCCUCUGGUGAUUAUCUGAGUACCGAGAAAUUGUUGCCUUUCUCAUAAGAAGCCUGCACAGGCACCAGGUCAAGACGAGCAGUUUUCGGUUGUGUGGGUCUGUCUCUCAGAUUGCGCCUCGCUGUAUAUAAAUUGUGAGCCAAAUAAUCAGACUUGUUCUUUGGCUGGAUUACAUUUUCUCCUGGAAUAUCAGAUGCAUUCCACCAAGACCACAGGAAGAAAAAGUGAAGAUCAAGAAGCUGUGACGCCGCUUUGUAAGCACAGAUAUUUUCAAUCAUCUGGGUAGUUACAACUUUACAUUCUAUAUAAAAUAUCCUUUUUUACUAAGCUUAACCGAAAUGCACACAUCACAGGCAAUUGAGAGUUCCUGAGUGAGUUUAUGUAUCUUUAUUAUUGUUUCUUUGCAUAUUCCCAAAGAUCCCUGUUUCUAACAACAGGUUGUAUUAAAAGUGACAUCAUUGUUUGGCUUUUGUUCAAAUGCCCUCUUGGUCCCAUUAACUCAUUCAGCCAGCACUGAAAACUCACCAUCUGCUAGUAGGGAAUGCAGCAAAUAUAAGGGACCAGGUUCUUGCCCUUGGCCUCCUGUCUAUCUCACGUUGAGACAGAUGUCUCAGUAAGCCAGUUACCACACAUUGUGUGAUGGGCUUGAAGGGACAUAGGUACUAAGUGUGGUGGGAAACGCAGAGGAGGGAGGGCCUGACUCUGGGGGCUGGUUAGGGGGCUGAUCAGAGAAGGCUUCAUGGUGGAGAUGACCAUUUAAGGCUGGACUUCAAAGGGUGAGAAGGGGCUGACGUUGGGUGAGAAGAAGAGAAACAAACAUUCUAAGCAGAAAGAAUAGUGCUGCUGAUGUAUGAUGACUAGGAGCCGUGUGGCUCAUUCUGGAAAAGACGAGAAAAGUAGUUUGGUGUGGCCGGAGCAGAGAGAGGAUUAUAGAGACUGGUAGGAUGUGAGCUGGGGGAGAGCCUGGGGACAACCUUGAAUGCAGGACUAAGGAAGUUGGCCUUUGUUCUGCAGGUGACAGGGAGAAUAACGCCAGCAGAUCUUUGCUUUAAGUAAUUUGCUGAGCCAAGAGAUCGAAUCAGCUGGGCGCAGUAUGAGGGUGGGUCAAAGUGGGACACUAAGUAUCUCCCCGGCACAGAGUCCCCUGCUCAGUAAAGCAGGAGGUAUGUUCAUUAGAUCGAUGUAAGGAACAGUUCAGGGUUGAGGGGACGAGGCUAUGAACUACGGCACAGAAAGUAGGGAUGAAAACAAGAGGAUAGACUGGAGAGGGUUUUAGGAGACGUAUUUAACAGGAUUUGCUGAUUAAUUGUGAAUGACAGUGAGGAGGGAGGCACCAAGCUUACAGCUAAUCGUGGCUGAUAUCUAUCACCAAAUGCUUACUUUGCAGUUAGGUGCUUUGCCUGCAGGAUCUCCUUUACUCCCAUAAUCGCCAUAUGAGCGGGGUUGUGCUAUUAUCUGCAUUUUAUACAUGAGGAAGUUGGAGCCUGGACUGGUCAAUCAAAGUGACUAGGCAGGUACGUCACUUUGAACCUAAGGAUUUGAACCCAAGGGAGGAACGUGAAGCAACCAACCAGGGAGCAGUUAAUGAGUGGCAGAUUCGGGCUGGAACCCACUGGAACCACCUACUACUCCCCAGAUUCAGGAACAGGCUGCCCAAGCACCAUAUCAAGCCACAGACGUGUAGUGUUUGGAUAGUAUAUUCUUAAAGCAGUUUUUAGAACGAACUGCUAAUGUUUAAAACCCUAGAGUUCAUAUUAAAACCUGGGUUUCUGGUUUUUCUUGAAAAGUAAGAAGAUCUGGCCACCCUGGGCCCAUACGGCAACCCUUACUGCCUGUCUGCAUUCCUGUGCUCUGCAGUAGGCCAGAGCCUGUCUGCCUGCCUGGGGUCCCUGCCCACCUUUGCAGGUGCCCGAGUUUGCUGGUCCAGUUUGAUGCCAAGCUGUGCUUGUGCAUUUGAUCUCGUGUCAAGCUGAGGCCUCCAUUGAUGACCA